Molecule: long non-coding RNA, 1910 nt
Organism: Sebastes umbrosus (honeycomb rockfish)
Lineage: Eukaryota; Metazoa; Chordata; Actinopteri; Perciformes; Sebastidae
Exons: 3
Source: RefSeq, a predicted model, not a curated record
UAAUAUUUUUUUUCAAGCAAAGCCACACCUUUAGAAAAGCUCUGUGGAUGUAUUUUUUUUGUUUUUUUUAAAGAUUCGUCUACAUAAAAAUGUAAAAAGAAAUUAAAAUGCAUGAGGCCAAUAUCAUCUCUUACUUCAUCGGCGUCCUGUUAGAACCACGUGCCUACACAUUUUAACUGAAGGAUAAACUCUUUAUUGGUUGAGAAGAUAAACUAAAACCCAACUGGAUUAUCUGAAAAGAAAUGCAUCGUCACAAAGCUGGAAACUGUUUUUCUCAGCUUGUUCAAAGUGGACAUUUUUGGAGGUCCGUGGUUUUUGCAGGACAAUGACAAAUGAAUGGUGCUCUUACCCUUGACAGAACAAAAAAAAACUUUACCUCUGUGGUUACAGAUGUGAUCAUCUAAGACAGUGGUUCCCAAAGUGGGGUCCAGGGACCCCCAGGGGACCUUGAGGGGGUCCCAGAGGAUCCUCAGCAAAAAGGGGAAUAAUGUAUUUUCACUAUAAUUCCCACAAGUACCACAAUGACAGAUUGUAUGACUAUUUUGGUCAUGGAUUUCAUACACUUUCUGUAAUAAAACAUCUAAAAGCAAAAAUCCAAUCAGAUGGGGGACUCAGGGACAGAAUCCUAUCUAAUGGGGGGUCCCUCCGUGGUCUAAUUUGUGUCAGUUUAGGGGUCCUCGACAUGAAAACGUUUGGGAACCACUGAUCUAAGACAAAUAAGUGAUAAAUCACCUGCAAGUGCAAUUAUAGUUCUGCAAAAAUAUUGUAAUGAAGAAUGAUUGUAGACAAUUAUUAGUGUAAUAACAAAAGUUAUUUAUUAUUCUAUGCAGCCUGUUGUAUAAUUUUGUAUUUACUCAGUAAUACUACAGUAUACUGUGCAGUUACUGUAAUGACAACUGCAUUAUAAAUUGUAUAUGUGAAAUGUAAAUGAGAUAAAAAAAAAAAUGCUGAGGAGUCAAAGCUGCUACUCUCUUCAUUCCAUCAGCAGCAUCACGUCAUCAUGUGUGUGUAUAUGAGUGAUACCAGGGCUCCAUCUGCUGGUUAAUGAUGGAUAUCCUCGAUGCUGACUAGAUAUUUUCAUAACAUGCUGCAUGUUCAGCACAGAAACUCUUCAGUCCUAAUUUUACUACCAAAAUGAAGCGUGUGUGUGUUUUAUCAGAUUAUUCCAGAAGUCAACUCAGUCAACUUUAGAAGCAUGAAGCCGGUAUACCGAAGGAAGAAGCAUGUGAAUGCAGCAUGUGAAACAGAAAUACUACAUGCUACAUGCAGUCAUUUAUAUGAUGCGAAAUAUUAGCUUUGACACAAUGAACAUCAUGUUUCCAGUAAUGCAGUCCUGUCCUUGGUAUCAGGGUUAUUAUAGUAAACUGAAACUGAAACUAAAAAGAAAAUAAGCAGUGAAAAAUAUUUUUAGUAAACUGCAACUAAAAAAAUUAAAAAUAAAAUUAUAUCCUUUAAGAAAAUAUGAACUGAAACCAUAAUACCUGGUUGAAAACUAAUAAAAAUAAAAAUAAAAAUGAACGUAAAUUAAUUUUAAUUUUAGUUUUUUUUUAGCUCUAAUAUAUCACAACCAAUUGAAAAUCCCAAACUAUUAUAACCUUGCUUGUUAUGUGCAGUGUCCUCUUCAUUCAUUCCUUUGAGAAACUUAGAGGUUGAUUCACUCAAAUUACGAACAACUAUGUAUUAUUUUCUCACUUAUUUGUUGUGGUAUUUAGCCAUGCAGGUUGUUUUGAUUGUGUAUGUCCAGAGGCCUGUACUACGAAGCCAGUUCAACACACCCAGGGUAUCUUCUCGUUAUCUGGCUUCACUAACCCUAACAACCGCGAUCCCGCUAAACGGUCCUACGAAGGUGGUUAUCAACUCGGAAAAUCAACCCAGAGUUUCUCCGUCUGGCUACUGUCGUGUUUACAUGA